Non-coding RNA from Chiloscyllium plagiosum (whitespotted bambooshark), 911 nucleotides. Lineage: Eukaryota; Metazoa; Chordata; Chondrichthyes; Orectolobiformes; Hemiscylliidae. The record is from RefSeq and is a predicted model, not a curated record.
UCCCUCCCCGUGCGCGUGUCCCUGGCUACCACAAACUCGCGACAGCUCUGCUAGUGCACGCGCCUCCUUGUUUAAAUCACACUGUUCACAACGUCCCGAAAAAUUUCCAUUGGACCGAAGCUGCCAUCGCCGCAGUAAAGCAGCGUAUGCUUCCAUUUCCUAUCUGAAUGACAAGAAUGCACCAGGAAUGUCUUCGACCUGGGAAACAAACUGGCAUGAGUGUCGAUGGGUUCUGAAUGGACACAGUCAAAAUUCCUCCACUGCUAACGGGAAUGCGACCUCUGAAAGGUAGAAGACAGAGGGAAUGUUGCUUUUCAACUGGAGGCCUGUGACCAGCAGUGUGCCACAAGGAUCGGUUCUGGGUCCACUGCAUUUCGUCAUUAAAUAACUGAUCUGAAUAUGAAGUAUGAUGCCACCAGACCGGAGUUUCUCUCGCAAUUUCGGUUGUAAAGCCCAAUCCCUGCUAUGCAAACAGAUCUGGUGUCCCACAUAGAUUGAUGGAGGUCUGUUUACAAGGACUGGAUCUGCAUUUGCUGUGCAGCGAUCUAUUUUGCCUCCCUUUUCAGCCUAAGGUUUACAUCCCAUGUCCAUGACAUGCCAUUACCCUGAUGGUAGCAUCUUCUGUCCAAUCAUUUCCUGUGAUCUGGAUGAUGUGAUCCCAUGUGUUGGAGAAAGACAACUGAGAUUUGUCACGACUAAGCCUUCACAACACCAUAUGGACAUUCUUAUUUCUUCCUCUGGGCAGUCCCUCAGCUACCGGUCUCUGAUCGAUUGAAGGAGUGAUGCAGGAAAACAUUCCAAUCAAACAACUUCACUUCCUCCGGGGAUACAGAGACCAAGUCCUCCCUUUGGCUGUAAUAAUGACAGGCUACUCAUGUCUCUUAAAUAAAAUCCCUCGUCUAUACCUCAAA